RNAcentral lists this ribosomal RNA (496 nucleotides) under uncultured bacterium. Its description in RNAcentral is "partial 16S ribosomal RNA". It matches the Rfam family "Bacterial small subunit ribosomal RNA", at positions 28 to 506 of the family's 1533-position model. The record is from RNAcentral.
GAUGAACGCUGGCGGCGUGCCUAAUACAUGCAAGUCGAGCGAACAGAUGAGGAGCUUGCUCCUCUGACGUUAGCGGCGGACGGGUGAGUAACACGUGGAUAACCUACCUAUAAGACUGGGAUAACUUCGGGAAACCGGAGCUAAUACCGGAUAAUAUAUUGAACCGCAUGGUUCAAUAGUGAAAGACGGUUUUGCUGUCACUUAUAGAUGGAUCCGCGCCGCAUUAGCUAGUUGGUAAGUUAACGGCUUACCAAGGCAACGAUGCGUAGCCGACCUGAGAGGGUGAUCGGCCACACUGGAACUGAGACACGGUACAGACUCAUAGGGGAGGCAGCAGUAGGGAAUCUUCCGGAAGGGGCGAAAGCCUGACGGAGCAACGCCGAGUGAGUGAGGAAGGUCUUCGGAUCGUAAAACUCUGUUAUUAGGGAAGAAAAAAUGUGUAAGUAACUAUGCACGUCUGGACGGUACCUAAGCAGAAAGCCACGGGUAACUACGU